RNAcentral lists this ribosomal RNA (622 nucleotides) under Pseudoalteromonas sp. 27ox. RNAcentral describes it as "bacterial SSU rRNA". It matches the Rfam family "Bacterial small subunit ribosomal RNA", at positions 139 to 758 of the family's 1533-position model. Lineage: Bacteria; Pseudomonadati; Pseudomonadota; Gammaproteobacteria; Alteromonadales; Pseudoalteromonadaceae. The record is from RNAcentral.
GGGGACAACAGUUGGAAACGACUGCUAAUACCGCAUGAUGUCUACGGACCAAAGUGGGGGACCUUCGGGCCUCACGCCAAAAGAUUAGCCCAAGUGGGAUUAGCUAGUUGGUAAGGUAAUGGCUUACCAAGGCAACGAUCCCUAGCUGGUUUGAGAGGAUGAUCAGCCACACUGGGACUGAGACACGGCCCAGACUCUACGGGAGGCAGCAGUGGGGAAUAUUGCACAAUGGGCGCAAGCCUGAUGCAGCCAUGCCGCGUGUGUGAAGAAGGCUUCGGGUUGUAAAGCACUUUCAGUAAGGAGGAAAGGUUAAGUUUUAAUAGAGCUUAGCUGUGACGUUACUUACAGAAGAAGCACCGGCUAACUCCGUGCCAGCAGCCGCGGUAAUACGGAGGGUGCGAGCGUUAAUCGGAAUUACUGGGCGUAAAGCGUACGCAGGCGGUUUGUUAAGCGAGAUGUGAAAGCCCCGGGCUCAACCUGGGAACUGCAUUUCGAACUGGCAAACUAGAGUGUGAUAGAGGGUGGUAGAAUUUCAGGUGUAGCGGUGAAAUGCGUAGAGAUCUGAAGGAAUACCGAUGGCGAAGGCAGCCACCUGGGUCAASACUGACGCUCAUGUACGAAA